GACAGAGGAGGCAAGCGUUGUUCGGAAUCAUUGGGCUUAAAGCGCGCGUAGGCGGCCUUGUACGUGUCUUGUGAAAUCCCACGGCUCACCCGUGGAACUGCAGGGCAAACUGCAAGACUUGAGGUCGGUAGAGGCGCCUGGAACUCUCGGUGGAACGGUGAAAUGCGUAGAUAUCUAGGGGAACGCCGGAGGCGAAAGCGGGGCGCUGGGCCGAUUCUGGCGCUGAUGCGCGAAAGCGUGGGGAGCAAAGAGG
Molecule: ribosomal RNA, 253 nt
Filed under: uncultured bacterium
Lineage: Bacteria
Description: partial 16S ribosomal RNA
Rfam family: Bacterial small subunit ribosomal RNA
Source: RNAcentral